This 502-nucleotide ribosomal RNA is filed under the name uncultured bacterium. RNAcentral's name for it is "partial 16S ribosomal RNA". It matches the Rfam family "Bacterial small subunit ribosomal RNA", at positions 28 to 523 of the family's 1533-position model. The record is from RNAcentral.
GACGAACGCUGGCGGCGUGCCUAAUACAUGCAAGUCGAACGAAUCUUCUUCGGAAGAUGAGUGGCGAACGGGUGAGUAAUACAUAGGUAACCUGCCCCUGUGCGGGGGAUAACAGGAGGAAACUCCUGCUAAUACCGCAUAGCCAUGAGCACCGCAUGGAGCUCAUGCCAAAUAUCCUUUCGGGGAUAGCGCAGGGAUGGACCUAUGGCGCAUUAGCUGGUUGGCGGGGCAACGGCCCACCAAGGCAACGAUGGGGAGCCGGCAUGAGAGGGGGGACGGCCACAUUGGGACUGGGACACGGCCCAGACUCCUACGGGAGGCAGCAGUAGGGAAUUUUCGGCAAUGGGGGAAACCCUGACCGAGCAACGCCGCGUGAGCGAAGAAGGCCUUCGGGUCGUAAAGCUCUGUUGUAAAGGAAGAACGGCGCAUACAGGAAAUGGUAUGCGAGUGACGGUACUUUACCAGAAAGCCACGGCUAACUACGUGCCAGCCGCCGCAGUAA